This 159-nucleotide ribosomal RNA is filed under the name Sinosenecio yilingii. RNAcentral's name for it is "5.8S ribosomal RNA". It matches the Rfam family "5.8S ribosomal RNA". Rfam says of the family: 5.8S ribosomal RNA (5.8S rRNA) is a component of the large subunit of the eukaryotic ribosome. It is transcribed by RNA polymerase I as part of the 45S precursor that also contains 18S and 28S rRNA. Functionally, it is thought that 5.8S rRNA may be involved in ribosome translocation. Lineage: Eukaryota; Viridiplantae; Streptophyta; Magnoliopsida; Asterales; Asteraceae. The record is from RNAcentral.
GACUCUCGGCAACGGAUAUCUCGGCUCAUGCAUCGAUGAAGAACGUAGCAAAAUGCGAUACUUGGUGUGAAUUGCAGAAUCCCGUGAACCAUCGAGUUUUUGAACGCAAGUUGCGCCCGAAGCCUUUUGGUUAAGGGCACGUUUGCCUGGGUGUCACAC